Molecule: long non-coding RNA, 1910 nt
Filed under: Mus musculus (house mouse)
Lineage: Eukaryota; Metazoa; Chordata; Mammalia; Rodentia; Muridae
Description: long non-coding RNA chr1:5156596-5158506
Source: RNAcentral
UUUUUUUUUUUUUUAAUUUUUCGAGACAGGGUUUUUCUGUAUAGCCCUGGAACUCACUUUGUAGACCAGGCUGGCCUCGAACUCAGAAGUCUGCCUGCCUCUGCCUCCCGAGUGCAAAGGCGUGCGCCACCACGCCCGGCUCUACUUUUAACAAGGGUUCUUAAAUGCUUUAACAUCCCUUCUAGCCUACCACCCACCAGAGGUAGUGGAAAAGAAAGAUUAUUAGGAUAUGGGGGAACUGUACCUGUUUAGAAAUAGUUCUUUGAAGCAAAUCCAAUCUGCAUUGUUAGGAUAUCAGCAGUGGCAGCUUGAUCCAGAAGAAGCCAUGAGACUCUGUUAUAUGUUGUUUAGAAGUAGAUACUUGGGGCCAAUUUUAAUCUCAAAUUUUUAGGAUAGCAAACAAGAAUCAGCAGUGGUGGUAUGCACCAGCCAGGCCUCCGCUGAAUCUGAAACAGUCACCAGGAGUGACCAGAAAUAGCUGGGAUGACAGGAGAAGUUCAGAGAAGAUGAAAACUUGAGACAAAUGAAGCAUUACAAAGCUAGCUAUGCAAGCCAGAGGCUACUGUCCAUUGAGUCCUAUUUAUAAGCCCUCAAAACAUCAUGUGUCCUUCCAUGGGUCUUGCUUUAGUAAUACACCCCAUGAGUCUGUUCUCACACGAUGGUUUACAACCAUCUAACUUCAGUUCCAGGGGAACCAACACUCUCUUCUGGUUUCCACUUUCACCACACACAUAUGGUAUGCAGAUGUAUAUACAGGCAAAAUACCCAUACACUUAAAAAAAACAUUAUAGUACACUUCUUCUUAAUAACAACACUGAAUGUUUGGUGGGGACCAGGAGGCAGAAACAAACAGACAUCUGAGUUUGAGGUUAGCCUGGUCUACAUAGCAAGUUUGAGGACAUUCAAGAUCAUGAUUAGCAAACAAAUAAAAUCAUUAUAAAGGCUGGAAAAUCACUCUGUGACUAUAGCAAUCUAGUAAUCAAAAGACUACUUGAAACAUUUCAAAUUUAUUUUUCUUUUUAUUACAGAUACCUGCAUUACAACAAUAAAGAUUGUUGCCUAAGAUAAAUUUCCAAAGAUUGUUAUUUAAGACAAAUUUCCUUUUAUAUAGACAGAAGAGAACAUUUUAUUAACAUUUAUUUCUGCUUAAUUCUCCAAACAGGAUAGGUAAAUGGUGAGAAGUAUAUUAUAAUUACUGCUCACUUAUAGUGAAAAUUUCAUUUCCCUGGCAUUAAUUUGUAUAGGUAAGGUUACAAGUAUUUCCAAUUAUAUAGGAGAAAUUAGUGUGGUCAAAAUUGCCAGAGUAGGGCUGGAGAGAUGGUGAGCAGGUUAAGAAUGCAUUCUGCUCGGAGAGAGAACACAAGUUCAGUUUCUAAUGCCUAUGUUGGGUACACAUACUCGAAAUUAAAAAUAAAAAUAUAAAUUAUAUUUAAAAAUAUGUCUUGUGCAGGAAACCACAGCUGCUGUGGUUGUAUGCAGAUGCCCUAUUAUCUUCAGAACUCCAGAAGACACUGUUUCUUGCUAGCCAACAUUAUAGCAUUGUGGUGGGAGUAGGAUGGGGCUGGGGCUUGUUUUGAACCUCCACCCCAUCUGAGGAAGCAUGGGCAGUUGAUGGCUUCUGGAGAGUUGGGAUCUUUUAAGGGUAUGACCCUGGUAGGUAAACCACCAUAUGGUUGGAUAGACCCCACCUUGGGAGUAUAUGGGCAGUACAAGUUGGACUAAAUAGAUUAUUGAUGAAAAGAUAACAGGAAGUUGAGGGAGUAGGGAGAUAGAGGUAGGUCUGGGAGGAGGAGGGGUGAAAGGAUGAAUAUAAUCAAAAUAUAUUGUGUGAAAUUCUCAAAAACUAAAAGUAUUUAAAAAUAUUGAAUUCAUUUAAAAAGCUAUCAGUAUAUUCAAGUUGUUUUUACUUU